CGUGCCUUUGGAAGAAUGACCAUCUUCUGGUGGUUGUAUCUUUCUUUUAGGUUAUUCCACAAUACUAAUAGAUCUUUUAUAGUAAAGUAUUCAACAUUUAAGCCUUCAUCAAUAUGAUGCCGAAGGAAAAUUAAAGAUUUCAUGUGAUCUUGCAGGGAUGCGGUAUUUCCUUCUUGAAUCGUGGUUCCAAGAUUCAUGGCAUUAAGAUGUAUUUCAGCAUCCAGAAU
This 227-nucleotide long non-coding RNA is filed under the name Elaeis guineensis (African oil palm). RNAcentral describes it as "long non-coding RNA (EGUI_LNC007620)". Lineage: Eukaryota; Viridiplantae; Streptophyta; Magnoliopsida; Arecales; Arecaceae. The record is from RNAcentral.